UAAUAUGUGUGGAGUGAGAAUGGGACGCGUGUCAACUUCUCCUUGAAUAUGAGAAAAUAUUCUUUUAUUUUUUUUAUUUUCUUGAUUUAUUUAGAUUAUUCAUAUCCAAUUAAUUUUUUGAUUUUUUUUAUUGGCUGGUGGAAAUGGACAUGAAUAGAAAAUAUUGGCCGUUGGUUAAUUUGAAUCGAUGCUUUUGAUUGAAUCAAAGAAGCACAAACAAUUCAAAAUGGCAAAGUUACC
Molecule: long non-coding RNA, 240 nt
Filed under: Lathyrus oleraceus (garden pea)
Lineage: Eukaryota; Viridiplantae; Streptophyta; Magnoliopsida; Fabales; Fabaceae
Description: Pisum sativum (pea) long non-coding RNA (PSAT_LNC003628)
Source: RNAcentral